RNAcentral lists this ribosomal RNA (300 nucleotides) under Triticum aestivum (bread wheat). RNAcentral describes it as "partial small subunit ribosomal RNA". The record is from RNAcentral. Lineage: Eukaryota; Viridiplantae; Streptophyta; Magnoliopsida; Poales; Poaceae.
AUGGUGGUGCGGGUCUUCGGGUAUGGGUCCCUGAUCUGGAACCUCGGCUUCGAUUUCGACGAGAAGAUCCUGGGAUUCAUCAAGGGCUGCAAGCGAACGUUUAAUCUCGCACCUAGAGUCGCGCGGCGACGUCACCGUCCUCCUCUUCCACAUCGUCCUCGGCUGCAAGUUCAUCGCCUCUCAACGAGACCGGCAAAGCCAAGCUCAUCGGCCUCUCAGUUCAGAGCAACGUCCAGGCAAGCCGUUCGUCCUGUUUCCUCUCUUCAUCACAGUUGCUCUUCCGUGAGAAUGGUGCUAUGA